CAGUAGCCACGGUAACACGUAGGGUGCGAGCGUUAAUCGGAAUUACUGGGCGUAAAGCGUGCGCAGGCGGUUGUGUAAGACAGGUGUGAAAUCCCCGGGCUUAACCUGGGAACUGCGCUUGUGACUGCACAGCUAGAGUAUGGCAGAGGGGGGUGGAAUUCCACGUGUAGCAGUGAAAUGCGUAGAGAUGUGGAGGAACACCGAUGGCGAAGGCAGCCCCCUGGGCCAAUACUGACGCUCAUGCACGAAAGCGUGGGGAGCAAACAGGAUUAGAUACCCCCGUAGUCCCUGUCUCUUAUAC
RNAcentral lists this ribosomal RNA (301 nucleotides) under uncultured bacterium. RNAcentral describes it as "partial 16S ribosomal RNA". It matches the Rfam family "Bacterial small subunit ribosomal RNA", at positions 509 to 807 of the family's 1533-position model. The record is from RNAcentral.